This 71-nucleotide transfer RNA is filed under the name Marmota monax (woodchuck). RNAcentral's name for it is "tRNA.Ala". It matches the Rfam family "tRNA". From Rfam's summary of the family: Transfer RNA (tRNA) molecules are approximately 80 nucleotides in length. Their secondary structure includes four short double-helical elements and three loops (D, anti-codon, and T loops). The record is from RNAcentral. Lineage: Eukaryota; Metazoa; Chordata; Mammalia; Rodentia; Sciuridae.
GGGGUUGUGGCUCAGAGGUAGAGUGCUCACCUAGCAUAUGUGAGGCACUGAGUUCGAUUCUCAACACCACA